GUUGAACGGAGAAUGGGUAGCAAAACAUGUCACAGGGGAAAAGAAAGAAAACAACAUUUAUGUUGUGGAGUAUGAGGGUGAAAAUAAACUUGAAGUUAUUUAUGCAUCUGACACUGUUCUGGUAAUAAGUGUUGUCAACAAGGAUAAGAAUAGAAGAUGUGGGGAGAUACAGUUGGCUGGAAUAUUUGAAAUUUCUCUGAGUUGUAAGGGGCAAAAUUCUGCUUUGUGUAUGGUGUUUUUCAGUUAAAGUAAAUGAUAUUGAAGAGAAAGCCUUGGAGAUAUUCAAGGAGCUGUUGAAACUGAAAGGGAUUGAAGAAAAACAUAUUGUGAAUUUCUUCAAAAGUGAUGACUGUCCUCCCUGCACAAAACUAUGGAGUUCAAUAAAAGCUCAGUAAACAGUCACUGAGACCAGACACAUCUUCUUAUGCAUGGAUUCAAGAUCCACCAAAUGAAGAUGACUUUCCUAAUUAACAUGGUCCUUCUCUCCUCACACUCCCUUUCCCAUCUCAUCUCUCCUGGUCACUAAUCAUGUCUGGUGGUAUUUGAUUUCUGAGGGUUUAA
Odocoileus virginianus texanus is the source of this 561-nucleotide non-coding RNA. Lineage: Eukaryota; Metazoa; Chordata; Mammalia; Artiodactyla; Cervidae. The record is from RefSeq and is a predicted model, not a curated record.